UUCUAUUUUGUAUUUCAUGAUCAGUGUCAUAAAAAUACAACUGAAGAUUACACGAAGGACAACCAUCAGGCAAUAAGUCAUUGAUGAAAUGGUGCAUUUGACCCUGAACUUUGAAAGUAUAUAUACCCUUAUUACUCCAACACAAAUCU
This is a long non-coding RNA of Ipomoea nil (Japanese morning glory), 149 nucleotides long. RefSeq lists it as uncharacterized. The transcript is spliced from 3 exons. The record is from RefSeq and is a predicted model, not a curated record. Lineage: Eukaryota; Viridiplantae; Streptophyta; Magnoliopsida; Solanales; Convolvulaceae.